This 1132-nucleotide long non-coding RNA is filed under the name Oryctolagus cuniculus (rabbit). Its description in RNAcentral is "lncRNA (ENSOCUG00000039019.1)". Lineage: Eukaryota; Metazoa; Chordata; Mammalia; Lagomorpha; Leporidae. The record is from RNAcentral.
AUGUUUUUUCUUAGUUUUUUGAUUGAUCCUCAUAUUUUGAAGACUAAUUCUUUUGAAGGAUGUAUAUAUAGAUAAAUAAAAAAUGUAUAAAUGUCAAGGUAACAGUUUGAGGCGUUUUGGGGGGGAAACAGAUGUCACUGGAGAAUACCAGGGUAGGGUGGCGGUUCCAGAGCCCUGGUAAUAGAUUAUUUCUCUAGUUUUUGAUAUAAUAAAAACAUUAAAGUUAUUAUAAAGAGAAGAUUUUGUGCAUUUCAUAGAUGGAAUUCCAAGAAGAGAGCCACACUUCCCUUACUCCCCUGUUAUGCCCCAAUCGCCUCUCUCCUUCUGCACUCUCCAUGAGUUUUUGCAAAGCCAUAAUUUUAAUCUGCUCUAUAUUCACAAGCUUAACUGGCCACUAAUCAUAAUAUUCAACAAAUAAAAAGUAGGAGGAUGAAAGUUCCACAGGAGAAUAAACAAGAGCUAAAAGCAACCUUCAUAUUCCAAAAUGACCAUUUAAUUCUUAAUCUUUUUUGUAUUCUAUGUUAAUGGCCACAUGUCAGAAAACAUAAGAUAUAGGUCUUCCUGGUACUGGCAUAUUUCACUAAGAAUAAUCAUUUACAGUUGCAUCCAUUUUGUUGCAAAAGACAGGGCUCCAUUCUUUUUUAUGGCUGAGUAAUAUUCCAUUGUGUGUAUAUACCCCAUUUUCUUGCAGUCAUCAGUUGAUGGACGUCUGGGUUGAUUUCAAAUCUUGGCUGUUGUGAAUUGAGCUGCAAUAAAUAUGGGGGUACAAAUAACUCAUUUCUUAACCUGAAUGAGUCCGCUACAAAUCAGUCCAGCAAAUUGUCUCCCAUGGAGCAACUCAACAAUCCAAGCUACUUUAACCCUAGAGUUCCACCAUUCAACAACCAUUUUCUUAGUUUGCCUCUUUAUUUGGCCUGUGGGAUUGCAGGUCUCGGUGAACAAUUAAACCUUCACACUACUGCCUGUCUUCCCUACUGCUGACACCUGGGUUAUCACUGUCUGAGGCUGCAAGGCUUAUCGAGGGAGGGGUUCUUGUCACUUCUGUUCUUCAGUGUGUUGCCUAAACUUGGCACUAUGUCUCCAGUUUAAUAGUCUCAAUAAAACUUGCUUAAAUGAAGAAAUGUGUUUCCUG